Eriocheir sinensis (Chinese mitten crab) is the source of this 319-nucleotide long non-coding RNA. RefSeq lists it as uncharacterized. NCBI's taxonomy places the organism in Eukaryota, Metazoa, Arthropoda, Malacostraca, Decapoda, Varunidae. The transcript has 2 exons. The record is from RefSeq and is a predicted model, not a curated record.
AUGCUUUGGAGAAAAUAAUAAGUUAGUUUAGCGAUGGUGGUGGUAGCGGCGAGGGUGUGGAGGUGGGAGAAGAACAAUGCGAUGAUAAGUGGGGGAAACGGUGUGUGUGUAUGUGUGUGUGUAAAUGCCUCGAAUGAAAAAUAAGUUAGUCAGGUUUUAUAAGCAGUGGCAUGAGUACGAAUGUGGGAGAAGAGAGUGAUAUGGUGAUGGAAGGAGGUAAACUGUGCUUCAUCGUAUCUCAAGGGAAAAUAAAUGCAAUGGAAGGAGUGGCGAGCGAGGAAACGUGGGUGAAAAGAAAAAAGUAAUGAUGGAAAGGGAG